AGGAACUCCGUAAACAGAUCGGUGCCACGUAUUACAUCGAAUGCAGCUCAAAAACCCAGCAGAAUGUGAAAGCAGUUUUUGAUGCAGCAAUAAAGGUGGUUAUCAAGCCACCACAGAAACAAAAAGAAAAGAAAAGGCCGCACCGUGGGUGUCUCCUAAAUGUGUUUUGUGGAAGAAACCUUACAAGGCAAAGUUGAGAGCAG
RNAcentral lists this unclassified non-coding RNA (203 nucleotides) under Hevea brasiliensis (rubber tree). The record is from RNAcentral. Lineage: Eukaryota; Viridiplantae; Streptophyta; Magnoliopsida; Malpighiales; Euphorbiaceae.